UGGUGAGGUAAGUUCCUGGUAAAAUUGGGCAGCUUAACUGUCCUUAUGCUAGGAAUACUGCUUUACUAGAGGGCGGGAGAGGUCUGAGGUACUACAGGGGUAGGGGUGAAAUCUUAUAAUCCUUGUAGGACCACCAGUGGCGAAAGCGUCAGACUGGAACGCGCCUGACGGUGAGGGACGAAAGCCAGGGGAGCGAACCGGAUUAGAUACCCGGGUAGUCCUGGCCGUAAACGAUGCAUACUAGGCAAUGGUGCGGCUAUGAGCCGCAUCAGUACCGGAGGGAAACCGUUAAGUGUGCCGCCUGGGAA
RNAcentral lists this ribosomal RNA (308 nucleotides) under uncultured archaeon. RNAcentral's name for it is "bacterial SSU rRNA". It matches the Rfam family "Archaeal small subunit ribosomal RNA", at positions 526 to 834 of the family's 1478-position model. The record is from RNAcentral.